Molecule: transfer RNA, 101 nt
Filed under: Candidatus Woesearchaeota archaeon
Lineage: Archaea; Nanobdellati; Candidatus Woesearchaeota
Description: tRNA-OTHER
Rfam family: tRNA
About the family: Transfer RNA (tRNA) molecules are approximately 80 nucleotides in length. Their secondary structure includes four short double-helical elements and three loops (D, anti-codon, and T loops).
Source: RNAcentral
GGGCCCGUAGCUCAGCUUGGUAGAGCAACUGAAAGCAAGUUGAAACUCUUAUCAAGUCUGGAGACAUCAGUAGGUCGUGCGUUCAAAUCGCGUCGGGCCCG